This 73-nucleotide transfer RNA is filed under the name Podarcis lilfordi (Lilford's wall lizard). It matches the Rfam family "tRNA". Rfam says of the family: Transfer RNA (tRNA) molecules are approximately 80 nucleotides in length. Their secondary structure includes four short double-helical elements and three loops (D, anti-codon, and T loops). Lineage: Eukaryota; Metazoa; Chordata; Lepidosauria; Squamata; Lacertidae. The record is from Rfam by way of RNAcentral.
GCUGGGAAAGCUCAGUUGGUUGAGCAUGAGACUCUUAAUCUCAGGGUCAUGGGCUUGAGCCCCACGUUGGGCA